RNAcentral lists this ribosomal RNA (1507 nucleotides) under uncultured bacterium. RNAcentral describes it as "bacterial SSU rRNA". It matches the Rfam family "Bacterial small subunit ribosomal RNA". The record is from RNAcentral.
AGAGUUUGAUCCUGGCUCAGAACGAACGCUGGCGGUGCGUCUUAAGCAUGCAAGUCGAACGGCAAGGUUGCAGGAAACUGUAACCCUAGAGUGGCGGACUGGUGAGUAACGCGUGGGUGACGUACCCUAAUGACAGGGAUAGCCGGUAGAAAUACCGGGUAAUACCUGAUAAAGUAUUAAGGAAUAGAGGCUUAAUAUGAAAGGAACUUUUGUUUCGCAUAAGGAACGGCUCGCGAGCCAUUAGCUGGUUGGUAAGGUAACGGCCUACCAAGGCGACGAUGGCAACCCGGCCUAAGAGGGUGAACGGGCACAUUGGGACUGAGAUACGGCCCAGACUCCUACGGGAGGCAGCAGCUAAGAAUAUUCCGCAAUGGGGGGAACCCUGACGGAGCGACACCGCGUGGAUGAAGAAGGUCGGAAGAUUGUAAAAUCCUUUUAUAACAGAAGAAUAAGGUUAUGAAGAGAAAGCAUAGCGGGUGACGGUAUGUUAUGAAUAAGAGGCGGCUAAUUACGUGCCAGCAGCCGCGGUAACACGUAAGCCUCGAGCGUUGUUCGGAAUUAUUGGGCGUAAAGGGCAUGUAGGCGGUUUAGCAAGCUUGAUGUGAAAGGCGGGGGCUCAACCCCCGGAUUGCGUUGAGAACUGCAUAACUAGAGUAUCUGAAGGGCAAUCAGAAUUCCGGGUGUAGGGGUGAAAUCUGUAGAUAUCCGGAAGAAUACCAAUGGCGAAGGCAGGUUGCCGGCAGAAGACUGACGCUGAGGUGCGAAGGUGCGGGGAGCGAACAGGAUUAGAUACCCUGGUAGUCCGCACAGUCAACGAUGUACACUGGAUGUCUGGAAGAAAAACCGGGUGUCGAAGCAAACGCGAUAAGUGUACCGCCUGGGGAGUAUGCCCGCAAGGGUGAAACUCAAAGGAAUUGACGGGGGCCCGCACAAGCGGUGGAGCAUGUGGUUUAAUUCGAUGGUACGCGAGGAACCUUACCUGGGUUUGACAUACACUUUAAUGCAGUAGAGAUAUUGCAGCGUAGCAAUACGAAAGUGAACAGGUGCUGCAUGGCUGUCGUCAGCUCGUGCCGUGAGGUGUUGGGUUAAGUCCCGCAACGAGCGCAACCCCUACUGCCGGUUACUAACAGGUAAAGCUGAGGACUUUGGCGGAACUGCCGGUGACAAACCGGAGGAAGGUGGGGAUGACGUCAAGUCAUCAUGGCCCUUAUGUCCAGGGCUACACACGUGCUACAAUGGUAGGAACAGAGUGAAGCAAAGUCGCGAGGCGGAGCAAAACGCAAAAAACCUAUCGUAGUUCGGAUAGGAGUCUGAAACCCGACUCCUUGAAGUUGGAAUCGCUAGUAAUCGCACAUCAGCACGGUGCGGUGAAUACGUUCCCGGGCCUUGUACACACCGCCCGUCACACCAUCCGAGUGGGGGGUACCCGAAGCCGGCAGUCUAACCGCAAGGGGGACGCUGUCGAAGGUACGCUUCGUGAGGGGGGUGAAGUCGUAACAAGGUAACC